AGCAGCCGCGGUAAUUCCAGCUCCAAUAGCGUAUAUUAAAGUUGCUGCAGUUAAAAAGCUCGUAGUUGAAUUUCGGGACUAAUAUGUCGGUCGUGCCUCGGUACGUACUGGUUUAUUGGUUUCUCCUUUCUGAAGAACCAUGAUGUCAUUUAUUUGGUGUCGUGGGGAAUCAGGACUGUUACUUUGAAAAAUUAGAGUGUUUAAAGCAGGCUCACGCUUGAAUACAUUAGCAUGGAAUAAUGAAAUAGGACGUUUGAUUCUAUUUUGUUGGUUUCUAGGAUCGACGUAAUGAUUAAUAGGGAUAGUUGGGGGCAUUAGUAUUCAAUUGUCAGAGGUGAAAUUCUUGGAUUUAUUGAAGACUAACUACUGCGAAAGCAUUUGCCAAGGAUGUUUUCAUUAAUCAAGAACGAAAGUUAGGGGAUCGAAGACGAUCAGAUACCGUCGUAGUCUUAACCAUAAACUAUGCCGACUAGGGAUCGGAUGAUGUUAAUUUUAUAAUGACUCAUUC
Molecule: ribosomal RNA, 508 nt
Filed under: uncultured Glomus
Lineage: Eukaryota; Fungi; Glomeromycota; Glomeromycetes; Glomerales; Glomeraceae
Description: SSU rRNA
Rfam family: Eukaryotic small subunit ribosomal RNA
Source: RNAcentral